UAAGGAAUGUGUAUUUAUGACGACAAUUUGUGAGACUGGUAAACUUAUGAUAGGUACGAUGGUCUUUCGUUCUACACGGUGCAUUUCAAGGUCCUGUACCCAUCCGUCGGUAAACUGUACCUGGUUACUAAACUUCAUGAGUGUAUGCACUCACUCCAAGAACCGUAUGAUUAUAAAUAUGCAUAUAAAUAUGCUAAGAUGAGAUAGCUGACUUCAUCUAACUAGCAAAUGUUGUCCAGGCUACGUUGGUGAUACAGUUUUUUUUUAAUGUGUAUGAUAUUUUUGUCAUGCGAUUUUAAAGCUGGUCCUACAACCGCAUCCAAGAAUAACAUGCAGCUUAUCUCAGAACUGUCGGUGAAAAUUAUUCUUGGAACUAGGUUUAAUUGAGCUGCAUUUUAAAGAGGUGCAAUUUCACAAUUUGUGUAUAUUUUCUAAGUUCACUAUUUUGUCAUGUGUUGAGAAAAACAGAUUUUAAAAUUACAUGGUCUAAUAUUUACAUUUAGCAUAUAACUGCAACAUUAUUUUUUCGUUUUUUUUUUUUUUUUUUUAAAGACUCGAAAGGACUUGAAAUUCAAAGUUUCAGACUUGUGACUUGACUCGGACUUUUACACCAGUGACUUGAGACUCGACUCUGACUUGCCUGACAUUACUUGAGACUUGACUUGAGACUUGAGGAUAAAGACUUGAGACUUACUUGAGACUUGCAAAACAAUGACUUGGUCCCACCUCUGCUAUUUCCCACCGAGGCUUCUAGACUUCUGAUUGGCCAACAUUUCUACACGGUUAGGAAUAUAUUGCCACCUGUUGCUUUGGCAUGUUCCUAGCAGCGUUUUCCUUCAUUUCUGCGUUCACGUGUGGACGGGAUUAUUUUUUUAAAACGAAAAUGGAAAAUCUCAGUUUUCAAAAAUACCCGUGUACGACAAAUACGGCAAUAAUGACGACCCGCUUGCAUGUUCUACAAAAAAAGUGCUUUGUUGUGUAUCUGACAGACAAACACCAAACCAGUUCCACAUCACUGAAGAGGCACCAUUUUUACAAACUAAUUCUGGUUCAUCCGUUCCACUCAAUGAUUGCUUUUUCCCUUCUCAUUCUCUGUUGCCGCCAUGGUUUAUCGGCAUUGUGCAUAUGAAAACAAAGGCACUGCGCAUGCGCAUUUCAACCACAUUAUAUCGCGAUAUUUCAUUUUCUUAUCGUUGCCUAACAUUGUACCGGUAUUACCGUGAAUGGUAUAAUAUGGCCCAGCCCUACUCCAGGAUCACAGGGCCAUCACAGGUGAGCCCUUGCACCCUGCCCACGACCUUUUUGACCUACUGCACUCUCUUCGGUGCCUAACAUCAGUUAGGUCCCACACCUCCAGGCUAACAAACAGCUUCUUCCCCUUCCCGAUUCAGGCUGUC
Astatotilapia calliptera (eastern happy) is the source of this 1397-nucleotide long non-coding RNA. The record is from Ensembl. NCBI's taxonomy places the organism in Eukaryota, Metazoa, Chordata, Actinopteri, Cichliformes, Cichlidae.